RNAcentral lists this ribosomal RNA (406 nucleotides) under uncultured Anoxybacillus sp. RNAcentral describes it as "bacterial SSU rRNA". It matches the Rfam family "Bacterial small subunit ribosomal RNA", at positions 976 to 1382 of the family's 1533-position model. Lineage: Bacteria; Bacillati; Bacillota; Bacilli; Caryophanales; Anoxybacillaceae. The record is from RNAcentral.
AGGUCUUGACAUCCCUGACGAACCCGAGAGAUCGGCGUUCCCCUUCGGGGGACAGGGUGACAGGUGGUGCAUGGUUGUCGUCAGCUCGUGUCGUGAGAUGUUGGGUUAAGUCCCGCAACGAGCGCAACCCUUGUCUUUAGUUGCCAUCAUUAAGUUUGGGCACUCUAAAGAGACUGCCGGUGUCAAACCGGAGGAAGUGGGGAUGACGUCAAAUCAUCAUGCCCCUUAUGACCUGGGCUACACACGUGCUACAAUGGGCGGUACAAAGGGUCGCGAACCCGCGAGGGGGAGCCAAUCCCAAAAAGCCGCUCUCAGUUCGGAUUGCAGGCUGCAACUCGCCUGCAUGAAGCCGGAAUCGCUAGUAAUCGCGGAUCAGCAUGCCGCGGUGAAUACGUUCCCGGGCCUU